GGGCGUAAAGGGCUCGUAGGUGGUUUGUCGCGUCGUCUGUGAAAUUCCGGGGCUUAACUCCGGGCGUGCAGGCGAUACGGGCAUAACUUGAGUACUGUAGGGGUAACUGGAAUUCCUGGUGUAGCGGUGAAAUGCGCAGAUAUCAGGAGGAACACCGAUGGCGAAGGCAGGUUACUGGGCAGUUACUGACGCUGAGGAGCGAAAGCAUGGGUAGCGAACAGGAUUAGAUACCCUGGUAGUCCAUGCCGUAAACGGUGGGCGCUAGGUGUGAGGGUCUUUUCACGGCUUUCGUGCCGUAGCUAACGCAUUAAGCGCCCCGCCUGGGGAGUACGGCCGCAAGGCUAAAACUCAAAGGAAUUGACGGGGGCCCGCACAAGCGGCGGAGCAUGUGGAUUAAUUCGAUGCAACGCGAAGAACCUUACCUAGGCUUGACAUACACCGGAUCGGGCUAGAGAUAGUCUUUCCCUUUGUGGCUGGUGUACAGGUGGUGCAUGGUUGUCGUCAGCUCGUGUCGUGAGAUGUUGGGUUAAGUCCCGCAACGAGCGCAACCCUUGUCUUAUGUUGCCAGCAUUUGGUUGGGGACUCAUGAGAGACUGCCGGGGUCAACUCGGAGGAAGGU
This 619-nucleotide ribosomal RNA is filed under the name uncultured Actinomycetes bacterium. RNAcentral describes it as "bacterial SSU rRNA". It matches the Rfam family "Bacterial small subunit ribosomal RNA", at positions 556 to 1174 of the family's 1533-position model. Lineage: Bacteria; Bacillati; Actinomycetota; Actinomycetes. The record is from RNAcentral.